UAUUGAUCUUUAGAUGAAUAUGUUUAAGAUUAGAAAAUGUAUUUGCUAUUUAAAACAUAAAUGUCAAAAUGUUUUUCAUAUUUUAGAAAUUGAAUCCUGAUGUAGACGAACAAGUACGUGUCGAUUUAGGAAAAGAAAUCGCCACGGCGGCAGUUCUUGACACAUUACCGUACUUUAUGGCAAGGAGGCUGAAACGUGGGACACGUUUUAUUUUACUUCGUGAUUACUUGCAAGAAGGAACAAUGACACAAUGGGAGAAGCUUUGUGUAGCAUACCAGUUAGCUGAGUGUUUGAGAUGCUUACAUUCUAAUGACCUAGCCUUAAAAAAGAUUACAACGAGCACGAUAUUGCUUCGCUUAAACUUUCUGACCAACUCUGUUGCUAUGAUACAAUUACAACAACCAGCAAGCGGGAAAAGCGGAAAAAGCAGGGUGUCUCGUGCAGAAAAUAUUUAUCAAUUCGGUUGCGUUGUUGGACAGCUUUUCUCGUAGUUUUGAUUUAAAACGUCUAUGUCUUUGUAUAGCCUGUUUGUUUUGUAUGUUUGAUUUGUUUUUCCCGAGCAAAUUAUCUUGUUUUGUCUAUAUGUAUGGAAUAUUUUUAUUU
This is a long non-coding RNA of Ruditapes philippinarum (Manila clam), 603 nucleotides long. RefSeq lists it as uncharacterized. The transcript has 3 exons. NCBI's taxonomy places the organism in Eukaryota, Metazoa, Mollusca, Bivalvia, Venerida, Veneridae. The record is from RefSeq and is a predicted model, not a curated record.